AGUAAUACAUCGGAACGUGCCUAGUAGUGGGGGAUAACUACUCGAAAGAGUAGCUAAUACCGCAUGAGAUCUACGGAUGAAAGCAGGGGACCUUCGGGCCUUGUGCUACUAGAGCGGCUGAUGGCAGAUUAGGUAGUUGGUGGGGUAAAGGCUUACCAAGCCUGCGAUCUGUAGCUGGUCUGAGAGGACGACCAGCCACACUGGGACUGAGACACGGCCCAGACUCCUACGGGAGGCAGCAGUGGGGAAUUUUGGACAAUGGGCGAAAGCCUGAUCCAGCAAUGCCGCGUGCAGGAUGAAGGCCCUCGGGUUGUAAACUGCUUUUGUACGGAACGAAAAGCCUGGGGCUAAUAUCCCCGGGUCAUGACGGUACCGUAAGAAUAAGCACCGGCUAACUACGUGCCAGCAGCCGCGGUAAUACGUAGGGUGCAAGCGUUAAUCGGAAUUACUGGGCGUAAAGCGUGCGCAGGCGGUUUUGUAAGACAGUGGUGAAAUCCCCGGGCUCAACCUGGGAACUGCCAUUGUGACUGCAAAGCUAGAGUGCGGCAGAGGGGGAUGGAAUUCCGCGUGUAGCAGUGAAAUGCGUAGAUAUGCGGAGGAACACCGAUGGCGAAGGCAAUCCCCUGG
Molecule: ribosomal RNA, 627 nt
Filed under: Comamonas thiooxydans
Lineage: Bacteria; Pseudomonadati; Pseudomonadota; Betaproteobacteria; Burkholderiales; Comamonadaceae
Description: bacterial SSU rRNA
Rfam family: Bacterial small subunit ribosomal RNA
Source: RNAcentral